GAUAGAUGGAAGAUGAGGCGCAAUGAAGGUCUGCAAUGAAUUGAAUAUGUGAGUGCCUAUGCUGUGAAGAUGUAGGGAUGCUCCCUGUCCUCAAGAUGCUCACAUCCAGAAGAAUGCAUUUUAAAAGGUCUAGGCAUGCAUUUUUAUUUUACAUUAUUGCAGACAUACUGAAGUAUGGUGCUAGAAAUAAAGCUACAAAAAUAACACAGAUCAAGACCCAAGCUCUCUUUACAAGAAACUUACACCAAAGUAGGGGAGACAGAUACGUAAAUAACCAUCUUGAUGCAGUGUAAGAGGGGCAAUGACAGCAGUAACCCCAGAAUGUUAAGGGAAACAUGCAAGGGUGACUACCUGGCCUGGAAAGGUGAGAAAACAAAGGUUUGGCAAGGAUGAGUACUUGCUGCAGGUCCAACAGUUAUGACUGGAUUGGAACUUCAUCCCAGCUUGGCCUAACUUCAGAGGAGUUUCAUUCAACUUAUAUAGAUUCGAUAUGAAAUGGGAAUGCAAGAAGGCAUAGAUAUUUCUGGUUGAUUCAAUUUCCUGAUAAUUCCCAAUUACAAUAAAAGAAAUGGUUUCAUAAGGACUCACAUGUUUGAAAAAGUCUUUGGAUAUAAAAUAUAAACCUGAGAUUAAAUUUGAUAAUAGAAAAUUUUUGAUGAAGCAUAAAUUAAAAAAUAUUUUUCUGGCAUUUUUUUCCUAAAAAAAAGAAGAUCCUGUUCCAAAACCAAGCCUUCGUAAAGAGGUCCUAUUCCUAUGUAUUUUAUGAUUGGAGAUGUGGAAGUCACUGUGAUGUGGUCAAAGUAGAAACAUUUGUGGGUUUUUUCUUCUUGAGGAAAUAAACCAAAAUGCUAAAAUAAAUGAGUAGCAAAUUAAG
This 874-nucleotide long non-coding RNA is filed under the name Homo sapiens (human). RNAcentral describes it as "long non-coding RNA NONHSAT207559.1". Lineage: Eukaryota; Metazoa; Chordata; Mammalia; Primates; Hominidae. The record is from RNAcentral.